This 490-nucleotide ribosomal RNA is filed under the name uncultured bacterium. RNAcentral's name for it is "partial 16S ribosomal RNA". It matches the Rfam family "Bacterial small subunit ribosomal RNA", at positions 30 to 507 of the family's 1533-position model. The record is from RNAcentral.
AUUGAACGCUGGCGGCAGGCCUAACACAUGCAAGUCGAACGGUAACAGGAAGAAGCUUUCUUCUUUGCUGACGAGUGUCGGACGGGUGAGUAAUGUCUGGGAAACUGCCUGAUGGAGGGGGAUAACUACUGGAAACGGUAGCUAAUACCGCAUAACGUCGCAAGACCAAAGAGGGGGACCUUCUGGCCUCUUGCCAUCUGAUGUGCCCAGAUGGGAUUAGCUAGUAGGUGGGGUAACGGCUCACCUAGGCGACGAUCCCUAGCUGGUCUGAGAGGAUGACCAGCCACACUGGAACUGAGACACGGUCCAGACUCCUACGGGAGGCAGCAGUGGGGAAUAUUGCACAAUGGGCGCAAGCCUGAUGCAGCCAUGCCGCGUGUAUGAAGAAGGCCUUCGGGUUGUAAAGUACUUUCAGCGGGGAGGAAGGGAGUAAAGUUAAUACCUUUGCGCAUUGACGUUACCCGAAGAAGAAGCACCGGCUAACUCCGUG